GAUGAACGCUGGCGGCAUGCCUAAUACAUGCAAGUCGAACGAGAGGAAGGAAAGCUUGCUUUUCUGAAUCUAGUGGCGAACGGGUGAGUAACACGUAGGUAACCUGCCCAUGUGCCCGGGAUAACUUCUGGAAACGGAUGCUAAAACCGGAUAGGUAGCAGACAAGCAUUUGACUGCUAUUAAAGUGGCUAAGGCCAUGAACAUGGAUGGACCUGCGGUGCAUUAGCUAGUUGGUGAGGUAACGGCCCACCAAGGCGACGAUGCAUAGCCGGCCUGAGAGGGCGGACGGCCACAUUGGGACUGAGACACGGCCCAAACUCCUACGGGAGGCAGCAGUAGGGAAUUUUCGUCAAUGGGGGGAACCCUGAACGAGCAAUGCCGCGUGAGUGAAGAAGGUCUUCGGAUCGUAAAGCUCUGUUGUAAGAGAAAAACGACAUUCAUAGGGAAUGAUGAGUGAGUGAUGGUAUCUUACCAGAA
RNAcentral lists this ribosomal RNA (477 nucleotides) under uncultured bacterium. RNAcentral describes it as "bacterial SSU rRNA". It matches the Rfam family "Bacterial small subunit ribosomal RNA", at positions 28 to 488 of the family's 1533-position model. The record is from RNAcentral.